GCUCCUUUAGUGUAGUCCGGUCUAUCACUUUGCCCUCUCACGGCAAGAACUCGGGUUCAAAUCCCGGAGGGAGCG
Molecule: transfer RNA, 75 nt
Filed under: Candidatus Woesearchaeota archaeon
Lineage: Archaea; Nanobdellati; Candidatus Woesearchaeota
Description: tRNA-Glu
Rfam family: tRNA
About the family: Transfer RNA (tRNA) molecules are approximately 80 nucleotides in length. Their secondary structure includes four short double-helical elements and three loops (D, anti-codon, and T loops).
Source: RNAcentral